GACGAACGCUGGCGGCGUGCUUAACACAUGCAAGUCGAACGGAAAGGCCCUGCUUUUGUGGGGUGCUCGAGUGGCGAACGGGUGAGUAACACGUGAGUAACCUGCCCUUGACUUUGGGAUAACUUCAGGAAACUGGGGCUAAUACCGGAUAGGAGCUCCUGCUGCAUGGUGGGGGUUGGAAAGUUUCGGCGGUUGGGGAUGGACUCGCGGCUUAUCAGCUUGUUGGCGGGGUAGUGGCUUACCAAGGCUUUGACGGGUAGCCGGCCUGAGAGGGUGACCGGCCACAUUGGGACUGAGAGACGGCCCAGACUCCUACGGGAGGCAGCAGUGGGGAAUAUUGCACAAUGGGCGGAAGCCUGAUGCAGCAACGCCGCGUGCGGGAUGACGGCCUUCGGGUUGUAAACCGCUUUCGCCUGUGACGAAGCGUGAUUGACGGUAAUGGGUAAAGAAGCACCGGCUAACUACGUG
Molecule: ribosomal RNA, 468 nt
Filed under: uncultured bacterium
Lineage: Bacteria
Description: partial 16S ribosomal RNA
Rfam family: Bacterial small subunit ribosomal RNA
Source: RNAcentral